GCAAUAGAGCCCAGUGAUAGAGCACUUGCCUAGCAUGCCUGAGGUCCUGGGUUCAAUCCCCAGAACUGCA
Molecule: transfer RNA, 70 nt
Filed under: Marmota monax (woodchuck)
Lineage: Eukaryota; Metazoa; Chordata; Mammalia; Rodentia; Sciuridae
Description: tRNA.Ala
Source: RNAcentral